This 32-nucleotide non-coding RNA is filed under the name Mus musculus (house mouse). Lineage: Eukaryota; Metazoa; Chordata; Mammalia; Rodentia; Muridae. The record is from RNAcentral.
UGAGCAGAUAUACACUGUCUUCACCUGACCCC